RNAcentral lists this RNase P RNA (408 nucleotides) under Candidatus Magasanikiibacteriota bacterium. Its description in RNAcentral is "RNase P RNA component class A". It matches the Rfam family "Bacterial RNase P class A". From Rfam's summary of the family: Ribonuclease P (RNase P) is a ubiquitous endoribonuclease, found in archaea, bacteria and eukarya as well as chloroplasts and mitochondria. Its best characterised activity is the generation of mature 5'-ends of tRNAs by cleaving the 5'-leader elements of precursor-tRNAs. The record is from RNAcentral. Lineage: Bacteria; Candidatus Magasanikiibacteriota.
CAUCUACAAGAGAUGGUCGCUUAAUUUUAUUAAGAGGAAAGUCCGAACUCCCUGUGGAAACACAGAAGACGGUAGUGGGUAAUACCCACCCAUUAUAUGGCGACAUAUAAUGCGGGAAAGUGCCGCAGAGACAAUACUAUUCCUGCAAUUUACAGGAAGAAAGGUGAAAAGUGUGUACAGGUAUGUAUUAUUUACGCAUAUGCAUAUAAUCCAUGCGAGUACACUCGCACACUGGCAACAGUGCCGCGUGGUAAACCCUACCUGGAGCAAGAGCAGCCCUUUUUAACACAGGUUAAAAUUGGAAAAGUUCGCUCGCAAAGAAUACUGCAGUAAUGUAGUAUCAAGAUACAUGACCAUCCUUUGGUGCAAUCCAAAGAACAGGAUUCGGCUUAUUCUUGUAGAUAGCAA